AAGUCGAGGGGCAGCGAGAUUGAAGCUUGCUUCAAUUGUCGGCGACCGGCGGACGGGUGCGUAACGCGUAUGCAACCUACCCAUAACAGGGGGAUAACACUGAGAAAUUGGUACUAAUACCCCAUAACAUCUCGAGUGGCAUCACUUGGGGUUGAAAGCUUCGGUGGUUAUGGAUGGGCAUGCGUUGUAUUAGCUAGUUGGAGAGGUAACGGCUCACCAAGGCGACGAUACAUAGGGGGACUGAGAGGUUAACCCCCCACAUUGGUACUGAGACACGGACCAAACUCCUACGGGAGGCAGCAGUGAGGAAUAUUGGUCAAUGGACGGAAGUCUGAACCAGCCAUGCCGCGUGCAGGAUGACGGCUCUAUGAGUUGUAAACUGCUUUUGUA
RNAcentral lists this ribosomal RNA (390 nucleotides) under uncultured bacterium. RNAcentral's name for it is "bacterial SSU rRNA". It matches the Rfam family "Bacterial small subunit ribosomal RNA", at positions 59 to 440 of the family's 1533-position model. The record is from RNAcentral.